This 70-nucleotide transfer RNA is filed under the name Pantoea anthophila. RNAcentral describes it as "tRNA-Ala". It matches the Rfam family "tRNA". From Rfam's summary of the family: Transfer RNA (tRNA) molecules are approximately 80 nucleotides in length. The record is from RNAcentral. Lineage: Bacteria; Pseudomonadati; Pseudomonadota; Gammaproteobacteria; Enterobacterales; Erwiniaceae. RNAcentral also lists the same sequence under 2 other names.
AUAGCUCAGCUGGGAGAGCGCUUGCAUGGCAUGCAAGAGGUCAGCGGUUCGAUCCCGCUUAUCUCCACCA